Molecule: microRNA precursor, 73 nt
Filed under: Larimichthys crocea (large yellow croaker)
Lineage: Eukaryota; Metazoa; Chordata; Actinopteri; Sciaenidae
Description: mir-456 microRNA precursor family
Rfam family: mir-456 microRNA precursor family
Source: Rfam by way of RNAcentral
CUGUGAGCAGGCAUCUUCCCAGCCUACAUGUAGAUCCAGUAAUCUGCAGGCUGGUUAGAUGGUUGUCACAUGU